UAGGGAAUCUUCGGCAAUGGGGGGAACCCUGACCGAGCAACGCCUCGUGAGUGAAGAAGGUUUUCGGAUCGUAAAGCUCUGUUGUUAAGGAAGAACGAGUGUGAGAAUGGAAAGUUCAUGCUGUGACGGUACUUAACCAGAAAGGGACGGCUAACUACGUGCCAGCAGCCGCGGUAAUACGUAGGUCCCGAGCGUUGUCCGGAUUUAUUGGGCGUAAAGCGAGCGCAGGCGGUUAGAAAAGUCUGAAGUGAAAGGCAGUGGCUCAACCAUUGUAGGCUUUGGAAACUGUUUAACUUGAGUGCAGAAGGGGGGAGUGGAAUUCCAUGUGUAGCGGUGAAAUGCGUAGAUAUAUGGAGGAACACCGGUGGCGAAAGCGGCUCUCUGGUCUGUAACUGACGCUGAGGCUCGAAAGCGUGGGGAGCGAACAGG
Molecule: ribosomal RNA, 429 nt
Filed under: Bacteroidota bacterium
Lineage: Bacteria; Pseudomonadati; Bacteroidota
Description: Bacteroidetes bacterium partial 16S ribosomal RNA
Rfam family: Bacterial small subunit ribosomal RNA
Source: RNAcentral